GGAAGUCGUCUGCUCUCACCGCUGCAAGAAGGCGCGAGAGCAGACGAUUUGUUCAUCCAAUAAGCGGUCUGCCAUCGUAGCGGAUAUCGCUGUUGCCAACAGAAAUCGCAAUGUGCUGGCGCUGUUCUUAUCAACUUAAUUCGUUUAUUUAAUAACCGUGGCGAUUCUGGACGAGCGAAUUCACAGUAUUACGUUUUCAGAUAUGAGGAAUCGAAUGGUACGCUUUGUGGAUAGGCCAGGGUGUACGAGACCGUCCCUAUAAAUCCUUUCUUCACAUCUUCACCUCGCUUGGUCUUGAGAGGUGUGGCCAUGACUUGCCUCGACAAACAGUCUAUCACCAGCAAGCUCAGCUCGAGCCCAAUAUACUUUGAAAACGCUCCAGAGUCGCCGCCGCCGAUAUCUUACACACCAGUAUCAGAUGAGAGCAUAUUUAGCUCUAGUCCGUCAUUUUUUCAAAACGCUCCAGAGUCACCGCCGCCGAUAUCUUACACACCAAUACCAAGACCAACGCCUGAAUGUAAGUAAAAGUUAUAGCAUAAUUACAAUAAUAAAUGAUAUUCACUUACAGGUUACUGGGGUCCGUCGCCACAGUGUAUGUAUUAAUGAAAUGUAUAAACUGAUAUUAAUUUAGAUUCGCUUACAGAUUACUGGGGUCUGCCACCACAGCAUUGUCAGUGCUGUGUCCAACGAGCGGAAACAAAAGAGUUUCUAAAAAAUGUAAUAAUAGAGACAUUGAAUGAAAUAUUUAGAGAGCAAUAAAUGUAUAUAUUAUUUAUUAUGUGUAUUGUGUUUCUUCUGUUACAGGUCGUGAAGGUUUUUCGGCUGGGUUUUUCUCCUUCACCUGAUUGGCAUCACAAUUGGCACAAUUCCCAGCACAAUUGGCUUUAAUAAAUAUAUCGCAACUUGA
Ornithodoros turicata is the source of this 907-nucleotide long non-coding RNA. RefSeq lists it as uncharacterized. The transcript has 9 exons. The record is from RefSeq and is a predicted model, not a curated record. NCBI's taxonomy places the organism in Eukaryota, Metazoa, Arthropoda, Arachnida, Ixodida, Argasidae.